RNAcentral lists this ribosomal RNA (467 nucleotides) under uncultured bacterium. RNAcentral describes it as "partial 16S ribosomal RNA". It matches the Rfam family "Bacterial small subunit ribosomal RNA", at positions 29 to 507 of the family's 1533-position model. The record is from RNAcentral.
ACGAACGCUGGCGGCGUGCUUAACACAUGCAAGUCGAACGGAAAGGCCCUGCUUUUGUGGGGUGCUCGAGUGGCGAACGGGUGAGUAACACGUGAGUAACCUGCCCUUGACUUUGGGAUAACUUCAGGAAACUGGGGCUAAUACCGGCUAGGAGCUCCUGCUGCAUGGUGGUGGUUGGAAAGUUUCGGCGGUUGGGGCUGGACUCGCGGCUUAUCAGCUUGUUGGUGGGGUAGUGGCUUACCAAGGCUUUGACGGGUAGCCGGCCUGGGAGGGUGAACGGCCACAUUGGGACUGAGAUACGGACCAGAAGCCUACGGUCGGCAGCGGGGGAGAAUAUUGCACAAUGGGCGGAAGCCUGAUGCAGCAACGCCGCGUGCGGGAUGACGGGCUUCGGGUUGUAAACCGCUUUCGCCUGUGACGAAGCGUGAGUGACGGUAAUGGGUAAAGAAGCACCGGCUAACUACGUG